This 261-nucleotide ribosomal RNA is filed under the name Hemiselmis andersenii. RNAcentral describes it as "partial Bacterial large subunit ribosomal RNA". It matches the Rfam family "Bacterial large subunit ribosomal RNA", at positions 2291 to 2551 of the family's 2925-position model. The record is from RNAcentral. Lineage: Eukaryota; Cryptophyceae; Cryptomonadales; Hemiselmidaceae.
CAAAGCGUAACGGAGGAGUUCGAAGGUACGCUAGGUACGGUCGGACAUCGUGCUAAUAGUGCAAUGGCAUAAGCGUGCUUAACUGCGAGACCGACAAGUCGAGCAGGUACGAAAGUAGGUCUUAGUGAUCCGGUGGUUCUGUAUGGAAGGGCCAUCGCUCAACGGAUAAAAGGUACGCCGGGGAUAACAGGCUGAUGACCCCCAAGAGUCCAUAUCGACGGGGUCGUUUGGCACCUCGAUGUCGGCUCAUCACAUCCUGGG